This 1275-nucleotide ribosomal RNA is filed under the name Haemophilus influenzae 7P49H1. RNAcentral describes it as "bacterial LSU rRNA". It matches the Rfam family "Bacterial large subunit ribosomal RNA", at positions 1 to 1211 of the family's 2925-position model. Lineage: Bacteria; Pseudomonadati; Pseudomonadota; Gammaproteobacteria; Pasteurellales; Pasteurellaceae. The record is from RNAcentral.
GUAUAGUUAAGUGACUAAGCGUACAAGGUGGAUGCCUUGGCAAUCAGAGGCGAAGAAGGACGUGCUAAUCUGCGAAAAGCUUGGAUGAGUCGAUAAGAGGCGUUUAAUCCAAGAUAUCCGAAUGGGGAAACCCAGUAGAUGAAGAAUCUACUAUCAACAAGUGAAUUCAUAGCUUGUUGAGGCAAACCGGGAGAACUGAAACAUCUAAGUACCCCGAGGAAAAGAAAUCAACCGAGAUUUCGUCAGUAGCGGCGAGCGAAAGCGAAAGAGCCAGUAAGUGAUAGCAGUAUAGUGAGGAGAAUGUGUUGGGAAGCACAAUCAAAGAGGGUGAUAAUCCCGUAUCUAAAAACCAUAUUGUGGUACUAAGCUAACGAGAAGUAGGGCGGGACACGUGAUAUCCUGUUUGAAGAAGGGGGGACCAUCCUCCAAGGCUAAAUACUCCUGAUUGACCGAUAGUGAACCAGUACUGUGAAGGAAAGGCGAAAAGAACCCCGGUGAGGGGAGUGAAAUAGAACCUGAAACCUUGUACGUACAAGCAGUGGGAGCCCCAUCACUUAAUCCGAUUGGAAGGUGAUGAAAAGCAACCGCACUUAAACAAUGGUAAGAGGAGCGAAGCGAGUCAAACCACCCAAAAGAAGCAGUGGGAUUAAGUGAUGGGGUGACUGCGUACCUUUUGUAUAAUGGGUCAGCGACUUAUAUUUUGUAGCGAGGUUAACCGAAUAGGGGAGCCGAAGGGAAACCGAGUCUUAACUGGGCGAAUAGUUGCAAGGUAUAGACCCGAAACCCGGUGAUCUAGCCAUGGGCAGGUUGAAGGUUGGGUAACACUAACUGGAGGACCGAACCGACUAAUGUUGAAAAAUUAGCGGAUGACUUGUGGCUGGGGGUGAAAGGCCAAUCAAACCGGGAGAUAGCUGGUUCUCCCCGAAAUCUAUUUAGGUAGAGCCUUGAGGUGACACCUUUGGGGGUAGAGCACUGUUUCGGCUAGGGGGCCAUCCCGGCUUACCAACCCGAUGCAAACUACGAAUACCAAAGAGUGAUACUCAGGAGACACACGGCGGGUGCUAACGUCCGUCGUGGAGAGGGAAACAACCCAGACCGCCAGCUAAGGUCCCCAAGUCUAUAUUAAGUGGGAAACGAAGUGGGAAGGCUUAGACAGCUAGGAUGUUGGCUUAGAAGCAGCCAUCAUUUAAAGAAAGCGUAAUAGCUCACUAGUCGAGUCGGCCUGCGCGGAAGAUGUAACGGGGCUGAAAUAUAGCACCGAAGCUGCGGCAUCAG